This 301-nucleotide ribosomal RNA is filed under the name uncultured bacterium. RNAcentral describes it as "partial 16S ribosomal RNA". It matches the Rfam family "Bacterial small subunit ribosomal RNA", at positions 509 to 807 of the family's 1533-position model. The record is from RNAcentral.
CAGCCGCCGCGGGAAUACGGAGGGUGCAAGCGUUAAUCGGAAUUACUGGGCGUAAAGCGUGCGUAGGCGGUUCGUUAAGUCUGUUGUGAAAGCCCCGGGCUCAACCUGGGAAUGGCAAUGGAUACUGGCGAGCUAGAGUGUGUCAGAGGAUGGUGGAAUUCCCGGUGUAGCGGUGAAAUGCGUAGAGAUCGGGAGGAACAUCAGUGGCGAAGGCGGCCAUCUGGACUGGUAUUGACGCUGAGGUGCGAAAGCGUGGGGAGCAAACAGGAUUAGAUACCCCUGUAGUCCCUGUCUCUUAUAC